This 370-nucleotide ribosomal RNA is filed under the name uncultured organism. RNAcentral's name for it is "bacterial SSU rRNA". It matches the Rfam family "Bacterial small subunit ribosomal RNA", at positions 526 to 896 of the family's 1533-position model. The record is from RNAcentral.
CGUAGGCAGCAAGCGUUGUUCGGAAUUACUGGGCGUAAAGGGUGCGUAGGCGGCUUUUUAAGUUUGGUGUGAAAUCUCCCGGCUCAACUGGGAGGGUGCGCCGAAUACUGAGAAGCUAGAGUGUGGGAGAGGAAAGUGGAAUUCCUGGUGUAGCGGUGAAAUGCGUAGAUAUCAGGAGGAACACCGGUGGUGUAAACGGCUUUCUGGACCAUAACUGACGCUGAUGCACGAAAGCGUGGGUAGCAAACAGGAUUAGAUACCCUGGUAGUCCACGCCCUAAACGAUGCAUAUUUGGUGUGGGCCAUUCAUUUGGUCCGUGCCGGAGCUAACGCGUUAAAUAUGCCGCCUGGGGAGUACAGUCGCAAGGCUG